AAAGAGAGAGAGAGAGAGAGAGAGAGAGAAGAGAAACGGAACUGAGAAAAAAGAGGGGAAGAGCCGGAGCAACCGAGGGAGGUGGAGGAGACGGCGGCCAGCGAGCGAGCGCCGGAAGGGGAAGAGCUCCACUAGAGCGUGCGGUUGCGAGGAGACGAGGAGAUGUGGCGGAGGCGGCUGGGAGCUUUCCUUCUCCGAUCCCCGCCGUCUUCCUCCUCCACAGCCGCCUCUUCUUGCCAGCAUCGCCGCCACCACCUCCUCCCCCGCGAGGAACCUCCAGCCCUCAAUCGUCUUGCAAGGCUCUUCACGUCCCAAGCUGGAAGUGAUGGUGGCAAUUCCCAGAAGCCGUUCAUUGCUUUCGUCUUAGGGGGUCCUGGCAGUGGCAAAGGAACACAAUGCACCAAGAUUGCUUUAGAUUUCGGAUUUGCCCAUUUGAGCGCUGGUGACCUUCUGCGCCAUGAAAUAGCAUCUGGCAGUGAGAAAGGGGAGUUGAUCGUGGACAUCAUUAAGGAAGGGAGGAUUGUCCCAUCAGAGAUAACCGUGGAACUCAUCAGGAAAGCUAUGGAAGCGAGCAAUGCCAAUAAGGUUCUUAUUGAUGGCUUCCCAAGGUGUGAGGAAAACAGAAUCGCUUUUGAAAGAAUUGUUGGAAGAGAACCAGACAUUGUGGUUUUCUUUGACUGUCCUGAGGAUGAGAUGGUUAAACGCCUUCUAGGCCGUAACCAGGGGCGGGUUGAUGAUAACAUUGAGACAAUCAAGAAGCGUCUUAAGGUGUUUGAGAGUUUGAAUAUUCCUGUUAUUGACUACUAUUCUUCUAGGGGAAAGGUUCGCAAGGUAAGUAAACUAUUUUGUUCUGCACACAGCUAUGCAAACAGGACAACUUCUAUAUCUUACAUUGCUCUGACUCCUUUUGUUGCAAAGCUGAAUGGCAAAGCUUCUUUGUCUAACUGUAAAAUUUCUAUCUGUAUUCCGGAAUCUAUCUAAUGUCAGUGUAUGUACUUAAGAAGAAUAUGAUUAAAGAAGCAUAAAUGGCGGCAUGUGUUGAAACACAAAAGUUAACAGAUAUGACACAGUUCCUUUGAUAACGUCUGCGUUGCUGUAUAACCUCAACUUUCUUUGUUUUGGGGAGAAGUGAAAUCUACAUAUCGGUUAGAUUUUAGAUGAGCAACUGUUGGUGUGAUCAUCCGGGGAACAUCCCUUGCAUAUGUUAAGUCGCUAAAUUGCUGCAAAAGGGAGAUGAACCAGGGAUAUACUUGGUAUAAUGUUUUUCUCUGUAUGUCGACUUGAGGGUAUAGUACGUAUAACACUAGAACUGUUCAACUGCAUGCAGAUAAAUGCCACGGGCACUGCAGAUGAAAUCUUUGAAGCAGUCUGCAAGCUCUUUUCGUCCUUAAGGUUCUGAUGAGGAUACUGUCUUCCAAGGAAUCCCGGGAGUUCGCUUAGGAAUUAUCUGGUAUUUAUUUUUCUUAAAGCCAGUGCUCACUUUGGUGCAGUAAUUGUACAUACACGCUAUGCCUUUACCAAAUAAUACCCACAGAAAUACAUAUGCCUUGUGACACAUCUAACCUGAAGCUCGUCCUGCAGUGCAGGAAUUAUUUGUUCCCUUUUUUCUUCUUCUGAAUUUGUACUGCAACUCCUACAUAUGGUUUGCCGCCCAUGCUCUGUGUUUGUCUUCUUUUUCA
Panicum virgatum (switchgrass) is the source of this 1679-nucleotide RNA transcript. It is a transcript of the gene named UMP-CMP kinase 2-like, with no coding region annotated. The record is from RefSeq and is a predicted model, not a curated record. NCBI's taxonomy places the organism in Eukaryota, Viridiplantae, Streptophyta, Magnoliopsida, Poales, Poaceae. The transcript has 8 exons.